Molecule: ribosomal RNA, 512 nt
Filed under: uncultured bacterium
Lineage: Bacteria
Description: partial 16S ribosomal RNA
Source: RNAcentral
GGAGUUAGCCGGUGCUUCUUCUGUGAGUGAUGUCCUUCCUGCCGGCUAUUAACCCGCAGGCCUUCUUCCUCACUGAAAGUGCUUUACAACCCGAAGGCCUUCUUCACACACGCGGCAUGGCUGGAUCAGGGUUGCCCCCAUUGUCCAAUAUUCCCCACUGCUGCCUCCCGUAGGAGUCUGGGCCGUGUCUCAGUCCCAGUGUGGCUGAUCCAUCCUCUCAGACCAGCUACGGAUCGUCGCCUUGGUGAGCCGUUACCUCACCAACCAGCUAAUCCGACAUAGGCUCAUCCGAUAGCGCGAGGCCCGAAGGUCCCCCGNUUUCCCCCCGUAGGGCCGUAUGCGGUAUUAGCCUGGGUUUCCCCAGGUUAUCCCCCGACUACCGGGCAGAUUCCUAUGCAUUACUCACCCGUCCGCCGCUCGCCACCAGGGAGCAAGCUCCCCGUGCUGCCGCUCGACUUGCAUGUGUUAGGCCUGCCGCCAGCGUUCCAAUCUGAGCCAGGAUCAAACUCUGA